Molecule: ribosomal RNA, 412 nt
Filed under: uncultured bacterium
Lineage: Bacteria
Description: bacterial SSU rRNA
Rfam family: Bacterial small subunit ribosomal RNA
Source: RNAcentral
UUGCCAGCCGCCGCGGUAAUACGGAGGGUGCGAGCGUUAAUCGGAAUUACUGGGCGUAAAGGGCGCGUAGGCGGUCGCGCAAGUCGGGUGUGAAAGCCCCGGGCUCAACCUGGGAAUUGCAUUCGAUACUGCGUAACUAGAGUCUGGUAGAGGGAAGCGGAAUUCCGCAUGUAGCGGUGAAAUGCGUAGAUAUGCGGAGGAACACCAGUGGCGAAGGCGGCUUCCUGGACCAAGACUGACGCUGAGGCGCGAAAGCGUGGGGAGCAAACAGGAUUAGAUACCCUGGUAGUCCACGCCCUAAACGAUGAGGACUAGACGUUGGGGGGAUAAAACCCUUUAGUGUCGCAGCUAACGCGUGAAGUCCUCCGCCUGGGGAGUACGGCCGCAAGGUUGAAACUCAAGGGAUUGACGG